GACGAACGCUGGCGGCGUGCCUAAUACAUGCAAGUAGAACGCUGAAGAGAGGAGCUUGCUCUUCUUGGAUGAGUUGCGAACGGGUGAGUAACGCGUAGGUAACCUGCCUGGUAGCGGGGGAUAACUAUUGGAAACGAUAGCUAAUACCGCAUAAUAGUAGAUGUUGCAUGACAUUUGCUUAAAAGGUGCAAUUGCAUCACUACCAGAUGGACCUGCGUUGUAUUAGCUAGUUGGUGAGGUAACGGCUCACCAAGGCAACGAUACAUAGCCGACCUGAGAGGGUGAUCGGCCACACUGGGACUGAGACACGGCCCAGACUCCUACGGGAGGCAGCAGUAGGGAAUCUUCGGCAAUGGACGGAAGUCUGACCGAGCAACGCCGCGUGAGUGAAGAAGGUUUUCGGAUCGUAAAGCUCUGUUGUAAGAGAAGAACGAGUGUGAGAGUGGAAAGUUCACACUGUGACGGUAUCUACCAGAAAGGAC
RNAcentral lists this ribosomal RNA (482 nucleotides) under Streptococcus sp. oral taxon 064. Its description in RNAcentral is "bacterial SSU rRNA". It matches the Rfam family "Bacterial small subunit ribosomal RNA", at positions 28 to 493 of the family's 1533-position model. The record is from RNAcentral. Lineage: Bacteria; Bacillati; Bacillota; Bacilli; Lactobacillales; Streptococcaceae.